UUUUUUGCUGGGAACAGGGUGUGUGCAGGCUGAAAAGCACUGAGGAGGAACUGAGGCCAUGGCUGAUCCUGAGGGGUGCCCAGAGCAGCUCUGCAGGCGAGGUUAGUGCCUUUGCUCCUCUGUCAUCACCGGUCUCUGAGAGCAAUCACCACCCACCAACAGUUCCUCAAGAUAAGACUGAGCCAGCUGGGAGAAGAAAUCCUUUGAUAUUUCCUUGCCUCGCUGACUGCGUUUUUCACAGCUCAUAUCUCAGAGAAGACCUGCAAAGAUGACUGGGCACAUAAGAGUGACACUGGACUGUUAUGCAAGGAAGAUGCUAAUUUUCUGCCAUGUGAAUAGGGCCUGGGCAGAGUGAGGCAGAGUGCGGUGCUGGAAUCUCCCCGAUCCUCCUAUGGAUAUCAGCAGCUGCCACAUCUGGAGUCUGCAGCAAAGCUCCUUCCUCCAGAGGCCAAGAGCUGAGCCUACUGUUUCCAGCAAGCCUAAUCAAAAUGUCCAGUUGUAAAUCACUGGAGAUGUUGGCUGUGGCCCUCCUUACUCUUACCUCUUCCACCACCUCUCUGCCACCUU
This is a long non-coding RNA of Tympanuchus pallidicinctus (lesser prairie-chicken), 567 nucleotides long. RefSeq lists it as uncharacterized. The record is from RefSeq and is a predicted model, not a curated record. Lineage: Eukaryota; Metazoa; Chordata; Aves; Galliformes; Phasianidae. The transcript is spliced from 4 exons.